This is a non-coding RNA of Leptonychotes weddellii (Weddell seal), 512 nucleotides long. NCBI's taxonomy places the organism in Eukaryota, Metazoa, Chordata, Mammalia, Carnivora, Phocidae. The record is from RefSeq and is a predicted model, not a curated record.
CUGGCGCGAGCCCCCGGCUCUGCGGCGGCGGCCUGUAUGCUUGUGCAGCCGACGUCGUCGGGAGCUGGUCCCCGGUCCGGGAAAUGCCCGGGUUCCAGGCGGCGGGAGAGCAGGUACUGAAAGUGUAACUGCUAUAACGGGGAGCACCGCCCCCAAGUGUUGUCUGUAAAAAGGAGCCCGUGUCCUUGGGAGCAUUGGUCAUAGUCCUUUGGGAACAAGAAUGGGAAUGGAUCCUGCUGGGGACUGGAGAUGUCAAGAAGAAGAGAAGAACCAGGAUAGUGCCAUAUUGUGGACAUUACAAGGGAAGAGCUUUUCAAGAAAUCAGGAGUUUGGGAGCCUGGCUCUGAUUCUGAGCACAGUCUGACCUGCUCUGCUACCCGUGGGCCCUAGACAGGCUGACCAGUCACUGUGGCUAUCCAGCCGUAUCCCCCGUACCUAGAACACUGGAAGGUGCUCGGUAAAUAUUUGCAGGAAUUUCUUCAUAACAUUUCUUUUCUCUUGGGACGCCUGGG